GCCUUUAUGAUGGAAUGGUAGACAUAUCGACUUCAAAAGUCGACGCUUAAAGCGUACCGGUUCGAAUCCGGUUAAAGGCA
This 80-nucleotide transfer RNA is filed under the name Stigeoclonium sp. FACHB-2430. Its description in RNAcentral is "tRNA-Leu". It matches the Rfam family "tRNA". From Rfam's summary of the family: Transfer RNA (tRNA) molecules are approximately 80 nucleotides in length. Their secondary structure includes four short double-helical elements and three loops (D, anti-codon, and T loops). Lineage: Eukaryota; Viridiplantae; Chlorophyta; Chlorophyceae; Chaetophorales; Chaetophoraceae. The record is from RNAcentral.